GGGAGGUUCAAUGGAGUUGGUGGAGAUCAAGAGGUAAGGGUCGGAGGAAAGGAACUUAUGAUCUGACCCUUAAUCUAGAGGAUUUGGUGUGCUAGGGGUCCUUAGACUCAACGCUGAAAGGUCCCCAAGUUUUACAUAUACACCCUCGGUUCAAAGAAAAAGAUAUAGCCGAGCCCUCGGACGAGGCGGAGAAGGGUCGGCGGGGUCGGAACUGGGGCCAGCGGAGAGGGGUCGGGUCACAGGGGUCGGGAGCGGACUGGAGGUUGAGUACUUAAACUCGGUAGAGCUGAGAUAGGGGAUCAGGGACUCGGAUUAAGAUUAACUCGAGAGAUUUGGGGUCAGUCGUCACAGCCUACCCCCCUUAAAAAGAAUCUCGUCCCGAGAUUCGGUUGUAAGAGUAACCAGUGGGGGCGUGUAGUCCUUACCUCCUUGGUUGGAAAGGAAACCUUGAAAGUGCUUGUUCAAGUAUUCUUCUGUUUCCCAUGUUGCUUCGUCUUCUGUGUGGUUGUUCCAUAAGAUCUUGUACAUUUUUACCACUUGGCGUCGGGUGCGCCUCUCCUUCUGGUCAAGAACCUUGGCCGGGUAUUCGGCAUAGGUUAUGUCAGGCUCAAUCUGAAGCUGCUCUUACUCUAAGAUCUCGGUUGGGACUUGGACACAUUUCUUCAGUUGAGAUAUAUGGAAAACAUCAUGUAUGGCCGAGAGCUGUUCUGGGAGUCGGAUCCGGUAGGCAACAGGUCCACAAAUUUCCACAAUCUCAUAUGGGCCAAUAUAACGGGGAGCCAACUUUCCUUUCACUCCAAACCGUUGCACUCUUUUGGUCGGGGAGACUCGAAGAUAUACAUGAUCACCAAUGUCAAACUGCAGGGGUCUUCUUCUUCUAUCGGAGUAACUCUUCUGUCGAUAUUGGGCAACCUUGAGAUUUGCUUGAAUUACCCUUACUUGCUCUUCGGCUUCUACCACUAAGUCAGGGCCAUAGAUCUGUCUUUCUCCAGUUUGUGACCAAUUCAAAGGUGUCCGACAUCUGCGGCCAUAUAAGGCUUCAAACGGUGCCAUCUUCAAACUGGCCUGGUAGCUGUUGUUGUAGGAGAAUUCCGCCAAGGGCAAGCACUUGUCCCAAUUUUUGUCAUAAUGGAUGACACAAGCUCUCAACAUGUCUUCAAGGAUCUGAUUGACUCUUUCGGUUUGACCAUCGGUUUGAGGAUGAUAGGUUGAGCUACGGAUGAGCUUGGUGCCAAGUGAUGCUUGUAGCUGUUCCCAAAAGCGUGCUACAAACUGAACUCCUCGAUCAGAAAUGAUCGUCCUAGGCACACCGUGUAGGGAAAUAAUGCGGUCAAGAUACAACUCCGCAUACUUCUUGGCCGUGUAAGUGGUGUGGACACGAAGGAAGUGGGCAGACUUGGUCAGGCGGUCCAUUAUAACCCAGAUGGAGUCAUGUCGCUGUGAUGUAAGGGGCAGUCCAAAUAUGAAGUCUAUGCUGAUGUCUUCCCAUUUCCAAGAGGGAAUAGGUAGGGGCUGCAGGGUACCUGCUACCUUUAGAUGGCUGGCCUUGACGCGUUGGCAGGUGUCACAUUCUGAAACAUACCGAGCAAUUUCCUGUUUCAUUCCGCUCCACCAGAAAGUUUGGCGUAGAUCAUGGUACAUCUUAUUGCUACCUGGGUGGAUUGAGAACUUGGAGAGAUGAGCUUCAUCUAGGAUCUGCUUCCUCAAGUUGGGGUCGGCUGGUACAACCAGUCGGUUUCCAUAGUAUACGCUUCCAGUUUCGUCCUGCCGAAACUGCUUAUAUCCUUCAUCUUUCCAGGAGAUCUUCCUGGUGAUCCGCUGUACUUCCUCGUCCUUUACUUGUGCUGACCUUAUUUGGUCUUCUAGAACAGAGCCAAGGGUGAUGUGGCUGAGGGUUCCAUGGGAAACAAUUUCCAAUCUGAGUUUUCCCAUCUCAUGACACAGGGUUUCGGUGAAGGUCGUUGCCAACAAGCAGUUGCAACAGGGCUUGCGGCUAAGAGCGUCGGCCACCACAUUGGCCUUGCCGGGGUGAUAGUGUACUUCCAAAUCAUAAUCUUUUAUCAACUCCAACCAUCUUCUUUGGCGCAUGUUAAGGUCAGCUUGGGUGAAGAUGUACUUGAGGCUCUUGUGGUCGGUGUAGAUGUUGCAGUGAGUGCCCAUCAGAUAGUGUCUCCAUAUUUUUAAGGCAUGAAUCACUGCUGCCAACUCAAGAUCAUGGGUCGGGUAGUUCAGCUCAUGAGGUCGUAACGCCCAUGAGGCAUAGGCAAUGACUCGGUUGUCUUGCAUAAGAACACACCCAAGUCCAGUGCCAGAGGCGUCACAGUAUACGUCAUACGGCUUAGAGGGGUCGGGUUGGGUCAAAACUGUGGCUGUGGUCAGCAAGCGCUUUAAGGUUUUGAAGGCUUCUUCACAUUUGUCGUCCCACAUGAAUCUAACCUCCUUCUUCAGCAGUUCUGUCAUCGGCUUAGCUAUCUUGGAGAAAUCCGGUAUGAAACACCGAUAGUAGCCUGCCAGUCCAAGGAAACUUCGGAUCUGGUGCACUGAGGCGGGAGGCUUCCAGUCCAUGACUUCCUGUACCUUGUUGGGAUCGACGGCUAUGCCAUUCCGAGAGAUAGUGUGUCCCAAGAACUUGACACUAUCUAACCAAAAUUCACACUUGGAGAACUUGGCAUAGAGCUGGUGAUCCCUUAACCAUUGGAGAACUACGCGAAGAUGGUUGGCAUGUUCUUCUUUGCUCUUCGAGUACACCAGGAUAUCAUCAAUGAACACCACUACAAAUUUGUCCAACUCGGGCAUGAACACCGAGUUCAUGAGAUACAUGAAGUAUGCGGGUGCAUUGGUGAGUCCAAAAGACAUGACCAGGUACUCGUAGAGUCCAUAUCUUGUGGAGAAGGCAGUCUUAGGGAUGUCACAUGGUCGGAUCUUGAUUUGGUGAUAACCUGAACGAAGAUCAAUCUUGGAGAACACUCUAGCUCCAGCUAACUGAUCAAACAAGACAUCAAUGCGGGGGAGUGGGUACUUGUUCUUGACAGUCACCGCAUUGAGGGGUCGGUAGUCUACACACAUACGUAGACUCCCAUCCUUCUUCUUCACAAACAGGGCUGGGUAACCCCAGGGUGAUGCACUGGGUCGGAUGAAACCUUUUUCCAACAGAUCAUGCAACUGGGUCUUCAACUCGGCGAGUUCAGCUGGUGGCAUCCGAUAGGGUCUUUUGGAGAUGGGGGCGGUGCCGGGGAUUAACUCUAUGGAAAACUCCACAUCUCUAUCGGGUGGCAUGCCGGGCAAGUCCUCUGGGAACACAUCUGGGUACUCAUAGACAACAGGGAGGCUUUCUAGCCGGGCUUGCGAUAGAGGGUACGCACAGGGAAGUGCGGACUUAGGUUGUUUCAAGGGUAGGGUGGAACUGCCAUGGAAGGGUGAGUUGAUGUAGAGAAUUCGGGCAGCUGUAUCUAGGAGCACUUGGUGUCUGGUCAUCCAAUCCAUCCCAAGGAUGAUAUCUAUUCCUUCCAGGUCAAGGAUGAUAAGAUUUUCCUUGAAAAGAGUUUGGCCUAUCUGGAGAGGUACAAGAGUAACGAUCUGGUCUGAGGCUAUCUUCCUUCCCGGAGUGGAGAUCACAUAUGAUCCUUGAGUGUGACCGACACUCAGCUCACAUCUUUCUCUAGUCUUACUCCCGAUGAAGCUAUGGGAGGCUCCCGAAUCAAACAAGACAACAAUAGUUUGAUUUAAAACAAAGAAAGUACCCGUCAUCACUGGCGCACCUUCGGGGAGUUCGGUCAAGCUGGUGUAGUUGAGCCGUCCUUGGCGAAUUUGCACCUUGGGCCUUCUUCCUCUGUUCGCCAUGGAGUUCUGGCCAGGCUGCUGAUUUCUGUUCCUGGGGCAGUCCUUAGCAAAAUGCCCUUCAUUGCCGCAGGUGAAGCAGCGGUUACCAGUUGCAGGGCGCGGUGGUGGUGGUAGGGUCGGCCGGGGCGCCUGUGGUUGGAAACCAGGAAAACGGGGCGCUGCUGCUGGCGGGGGUCGGGCAACCCAUCUUCCCGACGGCUGGGGUCGGCUGGGUGCUUGUGGAGGAACCAUCCGGAACCUUCGAGUUGGCUGGCUCGGAAAUGCCACGGAGGCCUUCCUCUUCUGGUCGGCUUUGAGAGCCUGCAUGCAAUCCUCUUGCGAGAUGGCUAGGUUGACCAACUCGUUGUAGGUAUCCACCUUGAUGGGGUUUAACCUCUCUCUGAGCUCCAAACUUAGUCCUCGGCGGAAUCUGUCCCGCUUCUUCUCAUCUGUGUCCGCAUGAUAGCCGGCAUAACGGCACAAGUCAUUGAAAGAUUGGGCGUAGUGCAGGACAUCUCGGUUUCCCUGGGUAAGAGCCAGGAACUCGUUGAGCUUGCGCUCCAAGAGACCUUCCGGAAUGUGAUGCCCUUUGAACGCGGUCUUGAACUCGUUCCAGCUAACAACAUGGUCGGCUGGCAACAUAGCAUGGUAGUGGUCCCACCAGAGCCGGGCGGAACCACGUAGCUGCUGAGCCGCAAAUCGGGCUUUGUUGUGGUCGGGGCACGGAGCGGUGAGGAGCUCGAACUUGGAUUCGAUUGUGCGAACCCAGGCGUCUGCGUCGAGUGGGUCUUGCGUCUUCUGGAACAAAGGGGGCUGCAUCCCCAAGAAGUCCUCAUAGCGAGCAACAUGAGGCUGCUGCUGAGCCCUUCCCCCAUGGGGCUGCUGCUGUUGUCCUUGUACAAGAUGCCUCAGCAGCUCGGUUUGAGCCGCUAAGAUCGCCUCCAGCGGAGACGGAGGUGGGGGCGGGGGAAGAUCCUGCCUUUGCUCACUGCUGCUGGGCACAGAGCCGGAUCUGGUGUGAUGUGCCAUCUGCAAGAAUCACCGUUCCAUUAAUUUCCUCAGAAGCACUCCAAGCAGAUGGGAACGCACAUGUUAAAUCCUCAAUGCGACUCUUGCCGAUAACGCAAAACACACAGCUUAUAAAGGAGACACCCACUUCCUCUUGCCAUCUUAGCUAGCAACUCUCUUAGUUCCGCACAUGACCUCGGGCGAACCAUAACCAGAUUCCAGGAAUUCCAUUAUAUCCGAUCUUAGGCCAAGGGGUCGGCUAGACGAUACAGCACAGGAAGGGGUCAGCGAAGCGAACCGCACAAGAAAAGGGUCGGUCGAGGCGGAGAAGCGCCUCGAGGGGUCGGGCGCAUCCGACUUCGUGACCCAGGGUCGGCCAACUUGAACCAAGAACCAAACAACAUGAGAUAGAACUCUAAGAAGAGAAGGGGUCGGACAGAAAAAGCAUCCGGAUUUUAACCGGAAACAAGCUGGAAGAAACUAGAAAUCCUUAGAACCAAGGAAGAGCUUUUCCGAGCAACGUUGCUUCUGAGGAGGGUGACUUUACAGAUUCUUAGCUUAUGUCGCAUGCACGGCCUACCUCGUUUCUCAACCAAAACAACUGCCAAAACCUUGGGCUUACGCAGUCAGUGCCGGUGGCGAGGCAACCAGUACGUCUCUCCCUAUAAUAGCUAGUCGGCUCUAGUAACGUCUCUUAAGCGAACGCGGUUAGUGUACCUACAGAAAACACAACCUCAUGAACCUUUCGUGCCAGCACCCACGAAAGCGUUCCCAAACAUUACCGUUCACUAUAGGAACGGCACCCAUGCGUUUAAGGCUGCAUGGACAGCACAAUAACCGUGGAAAUAGGCCCCCUUUGAAUGGAACCAUAUAACCCUUCGCAUACUCGUGAUGCGGAAUCAGCGCACGUAUAAUAGACGUGGGCGAACAACCGUGAUGAUAGGCUCGUUGGAAUCGAACCAUACCACCCUUCGUAUAAAUUAACAUACGGAACCUGCGCACGUAUGAUAAACGUGGGCGAAACAGCCGCGAUGAUAGGGUCCUUUGAAUAGAACUCGCUAUCAACCCUCGCAUACUCGUGAUGCAGACUCGGCACACGUAUGAUACACGUGGCGAAGUGCUGGAAGUUAGCAAGAUAACCAAUAAAUAUUAGCCACCUAAAACAAUCCAAAAAUCACCUAGGGCCUCUCGUACUAAAGUCAUCCUUAACGAUCGUACGAGAUUUUCAAAGAGUUUCUUGCAACUUUUAUCCUUUAAAGAAGUGAUUAGGGCCUAUUGUAUUCUCUCUCUUGCUAAACCAGCUCUGAUACCAGCUGUGGCGGAUCCACUUUGGAUUAGCUUGAUUAAACAUGGUUAAGUCGCCUAACACGCGACACCCAUGCCUUAGCCAAGUUAACACGAAGUGCCGUCGGAUUUCAUCCGAUUUAACCACUUGAACAGGACCGAGUUAGCAAACUCACACGAAGGUGAGUGGUUCCAGAGAAUACAACAAGUCCACUGAGUUGAACAGCUUAACCAUUUAGUUCGGCCAUAAAACAAACAUCAGAGUUUUACAAGGUUUAGAAGAAAAACAACAGAAGGUAAGCAAACGGAAGUUAAACGCCAGGGGUCGGACGUCCCUGGUGAGGCCAGCCAGGACGUCAGUGAUCCCUCUCCUCGCCGUCCGAGGAGGGAUCCCACUCAACCGUCCAACCCGGAGGGAGUUGGGGCGGCCAAGUGCCAACAGAAGGCUCGGGAGCAGCAACUUCACCUGAAAAGAAAAGCCACAACAAGGCUGAGCUACUAAGCUCAACAAGACUUAACCGACAGGAGGAAGCUACUCCACCACUUCUAGACAUGCAAGGCUCUUUGGUUGAGGGGUUUGUUUGCCAAGAAGUGCUAAGUAGAUCCUUACUUUCAAGUUUUAGCUCCGAUUCUAGGUUCAUUAACCGGUCUAAGUUGGCAACUUACUCUAAGCAAUCAUAGAACCAAACAGAGGGUAUAAAACAUCAUCGAGAUCAAGUUAUCAUCAGAUUCCAUCAUUACUCAGGGUGACAUAGCGAUCAAGCAGUCUCAAACUGUGAGAGGCGGACGAAUCGAUUCGAGUUCUUUAACCAUGCAUGGUGAACCUAACCUCACAACAUCUGCGCACCACGGAGGUCGCUUCCUGUGUCGGCCUUCCCCAUCAAUCCCCUAACCCGUGUUGGGCCCAUUUCCUUUGGUGCAAGGUUCCACAGACCCGGCCUCUACCGUUCUGUGACCACGCUUGCCACCACGUGCGACAGCUAGCAGGGGAAACUCCGUUCCAAGGACAAUGGGGCGACCGCUCACGUCUAGGUUCAAUCCGGUACUCGGCUUCCUCAUCCCAUAAUAAGUAUGAGGUUAGUACCUUCAAACACUUGAUCAUGAACACCACCACUGUCGGGCCUUAGCAAGUUCCAUAGACAGACGGGACGAUCAGCCGACCACCAAAGAGUUACCCAAAACCCUGUCCCGUCCAUCGUCCUUAUAGUUGUGACAGGAGGAAAACAACCAACUCCUACAACUCGCGAGUGACAGGAAAUCACUCGAAUUUUACCGCUUCCUAUUUAAGCAAAGCAGCUACUCGGUCCAACAGCUAGUGUUCAGAUCAUGGGAUCUAGUUAUAUAUCUAGGGUUGCAAACAACUCCUAUACGUAAAUGCACAAACAAGAUGCAGAAGGCAUGUGCAAGUUUGGGAACAUAGGGGUUUCAUGCAUCCGGGGCUUGCCUUCAAGCGAGAAGGAAGGGAAAGGGUCUUCUGCUGGGACGGCUUCGGCUUCUGGAGGCGGGAGCUCGGCUACAACUCCUUCUGGCGCCGGGUACAACUCGUAGAAGCCGUCGGCGAGACGCAGCUCUACACGAAUGCAAUGCAUGAGUUAGCACUUUAGACGGUUAUUUCAACAGCAACACUUGCAAGUCUGAGCCCAGAAACUUGCGAUAAAAUACAGGAGGGUGGGGAGGUUCAAUGGAGUUGGUGGAGAUCAAGAGGUAAGGGUCGGAGGAAAGGAACUUAUGAUCUGACCCUUAAUCUAGAGGAUUUGGUGUGCUAGGGGUCCUCAGACUCAAUGCUGAAAGGUCCCCAAGUUUUACAUAUACACCCUCGGUUCAAAGAAAAAGAUAUAGCCGAGCCCUCGGACGAGGCGGAGAAGGGUCAGCGGGGUCGGAACUGGGGCCAGCGGAGAGGGGUCGGGUCACAGGGGUCGGGACCGGAUUGGAGGUUGAGUACUUAAACUCGGUAGAGCUGAGAUAGGGGAUCAGGGACUCGGAUUAAGAUUAACUCGAGAGAUUUGGGGUCAGUCGUCAC
Molecule: long non-coding RNA, 8131 nt
Filed under: Setaria viridis
Lineage: Eukaryota; Viridiplantae; Streptophyta; Magnoliopsida; Poales; Poaceae
Description: long non-coding RNA (SVIR_LNC008083)
Source: RNAcentral